This 2544-nucleotide long non-coding RNA is filed under the name Podarcis lilfordi (Lilford's wall lizard). Lineage: Eukaryota; Metazoa; Chordata; Lepidosauria; Squamata; Lacertidae. The record is from RNAcentral.
CCAUGCAGUCCAUCUCCACCGUUUUCUUCUCGGUUCAGCUUUAGAACUUCAUGGCCAAGGACAACGUCCCCUUCCAUAGUGUUGUGUUUCCCUGUUCGUUGCUGGGUACUGGGGAUAGAUACACGCUCGUCAACCAUCUUAUCGCAACAGGUACUCUGUGUGUGAGAGUUGGCCCCACCUAGAAUCAUAGAAUCAUAGAAUCAUAGAGUUGGAAGAGACCACAAGGGCCAUCGAGUCCAACCCCCUGCCAAGCAGGAAACACCAUCAGAGCACUCCUGACAUAUGGUUGUCAAGCCUCUGCUUAAAGACCUCCAAAGAAGGAGACUCCACCACACUCCUUGGCAGCAAAUUCCACUGUCGAACAGCUCUUACUGUCAGGAAGUUCUUCCUAAUGUUUAGGUGGAAUCUUCUUUCUUGUAGUUUGAUCCAUUGCUCCGUGUCCGCUUCUCUGGAGCAGCAGAAAACAACCUUUCUCCUCCUCUAUGUGACAUCCUUUAUAUAUUUGAACAUGGCUAUCAUAUCACCCCUUAACCUCCUCUUCUCCAGGCUAAACAUGCCCAGCUCCCUUAGCCGCUCCUCAUAAGGCAUCGUUUCCAGGCCUUUGACCAUUUUGGUUGCCCUCCUCUGGACACGUUCCAGUUUGUCAGUGUCCUUCUUGAACUGUGGUGCCCAGAACUGGACACAGUACUCCAGGUGAGGUCUGACCAGAGCAGAAUACAGUGGCACUAUUACUUCCCUUGAUCUAGAUGCUAUACUCCUAUUGAUGCAGCCCAGAAUUGCAUUGGCUUUUUAGCUGCCGCGUCACACUGUUGGCUCAUGUCAAGUUUGUGGUCAACCAAGACUCCUAGAUCCUUUUCACAUGUACUGCUCUCAAGCCAGGUGUCCCCCAUCUUGUAUUUGUGCCUCUCAUUUUUUUUGCCCAAGUGCAAUACUUUACAUUUCUCCCUGUUAAAAUUCAUCUUGUUUGUUUUGGCCCAGUUCUCUAAUCUGUCAAGGUCGUUUUGAAGUGUGAUCCUGUCCUCUGGGGUGUUAGCCACCCCUCCCAGUUUGGUGUCAUCUGCAAAUUUGAUCAGGAUGCCCUUGAGUCCAUCAUCCAAGUCGUUGAUAAAGAUGUUGAAUAAGACCGGGCCCAAGACAGAACCCUGUGGCACCCCACUAGUCACUCUUCUCCAGGAUGAAGAGGAACCAUUGAUGAGCACCCUUUGGGUUCGGUCAGUCAGCCAGUUACAAAUCCACUGAGUGGUAGCAUAGUCAAGACCGCAUUUUACCAGCUUCUUUACAAGAAUAUCAUGGGGCACCUUGUCAAAUGCCUUGCUGAAAUCAAGGUAGGCUACAUCCACUGCGUUCCCUUCAUCUACCAGGCUUGUAAUUCUGUCAAAAAACGAGAUCAGGUUAGUCUGACAUGACUUAUUUUUCAGAAAUCCAUGCUGACUAUUGGUGAUCACAGCAUUCCUUUCUAGGUGCUCACAGACUGUUUGCUUAAUGAUCUGCUCCAGAAUCUUCCCUGGUAUUGAUGUCAGACUGACUGGGCGGUAAUUAUUUGGGUCCUCUCUUUCCCCUUUUUGAAAAUAGGGACAACAUUUGCCCUCCUCCAGUCUGCCGGGACUUCGCCUGUUCUCCAGGAAUUCUCAAAGAUGACUGCCAGUGGUUCUGAGAUCACAUCUGCCAGUUCUUUUAAUACUCUUGGAUGCAGUUCAUCUGGCCCUGAGACUUGAAUACAUCAAAACUAGCCAAGUAUUCUUGUACUAUCUCCUUAGUUAUUCUGGGCUGUGUUUCCUCUGCUGAAUCAUUUGCUCCAAAUUCUUCAGGUCGGGCAUUGUUUUCUUUAUCGGAGAAGACUGAGGCAAAGAAGGCAUUGAGGAGUUCAGCCCUUUCUGUGUCCCCUGUUUGCAUUUCACCAUCUUCUCCUCUGAGUGACCCCACUGUUUCUUUGUUCUUCCUUUUGCUACGAACAUACCCAUAAAAGCCUUUUUGUUGCUUUUAACCUCUCUAGCAAGCCUGAGUUCAUUCUGUGCUUUAGCUUUUCUGACUUUGUGUCUACACGUGCUGGCUAUUUGUUUGAAUUCCUCUUUGGUGGUUUCCCCCUUUUCCAUUUUUGUACACAUCCUUUUUAAUCUUAACUCAGUUAAAAGUUCUUUAGAUAGCCACCCUGGCUUCUUUAGGCACCUUCCAUGUUUCCGUCUCAUUGGUAUUGCCUGACGUUGUGCUUUUAGUAUCUCCCUCUUAACAAACUCCCAGCCAUCAUGAACUCCCUUUCCUUUUAGUAUUACUGUCCAUGGGAUCUCACCCAGCACUUCCCUAAGUUUUAUGAAGUCGGCUUUCUUAAAGUCAAGAAAUUGAGUCCUAGUAUGCUUGGCUGCUCCUUUCCGCUGUAUAGUAAACUUCAGAAGAGCAUGAUCACUCGCGCCUAAUGAUCCUUCCACUUCUACCCCACUAACCAGGUCAUCAACAUUGGUUAGGACCAGAUCUAAAAUGGCUGUUCCUACCACUCUUUCAUUUCCAAACCUUGCUGGUUUAAGCUAGACUAUGUCACAAAAAAGGUUG